CAGAAAGGCUAUAGGGGUAAUAAACAGAGUCCUUACCUGUUUCCAAAAUAACUUUCUUUGGAACCAAAUAAACAAUAUUUUCUUAAUUAUACGCUUCUUUGAUUUCAGACCUUUUCUCACAAUAGAUUUUAUUUCACCAUCUCUAGCUUUCAGUUGGCUUUUCUCUAUACACUUAAUUUUUAUCAUCUUUCAGCUUUCCAUAUGGCAGACAAGCAUAACACUAGUCCAAUUCUCCUUUAAUUUUUUUGGCUUUUUUUUUUUUCUUUUGUGGAGAACGGGGACUCAUUAUGUUGUCCAGGCAGGUCUCAGACUCCUGGGCUCAAGCUAUCUUCCCAGCUCUUCCUCCCUAAGUGCUGGGAUUACAGGCAUGAGCUGCCACACCCAGCUCUCCUUUAUUUUCAACUAAUCAGAUUGCUCUAUUAGAAAAUGUCAUUAGUUUAGGGGUUUUUUUAAGGGAGAAUUUUGUUUCGUUUCUGUUUUUGGAUUUUUGUUUCGUUUUGUUUUGCUUUGUUUAGUAUAAAGUGUCAUAGGUCAGGUUCCCUGGGAAACAUUCUGAGAUGGGGAUUUGUGGGCAGGAGGAAUUUUACAGAGGAGUGCUCUUGAGAACAAUGACUAUAAGGAAUAAAGAGGCAGGAUUGGGCAAAGGGAAUAACUGAGUAGCUGCGCGCAGCCUUAACAGAGGCCUCAGCUGAUCUUAUGGGAGCUGAGUUUGAGUUUUCAUAUUGGGACAAGAGAACCAUUCCUUUGUACGUUGCAUCAACCAGUAUUGGAUAUGGACAGCAGUGGGUGGGGAGUUAGGGCGCCCCAGUCCUGAAGGGGGUAUCUGGGUGAAACUCCACAGUGUCUAGUACACUGAAUAGUCAUGAAUUUAAUGAGGAUAUGUUGAGUUACAUGUUUUUGUUUGGAUUUGUUUUGUUUUGUCUUAAUUCUUACUUAGACUCAGCUCUUGUAAUCAGGAAACUAACUUCUUCCUUCAGCUCAGUGAAAUGUUCCUUCAUUUUGGAUAUAGUAACCACUUUUCCACCCUUUCCUUUUUUUCUUCUGGAUGGCUUAUUAUUUGCAUGUUCCAUUUCCUGGAUCUGUGCUUUAAGUCACCUACGUUUUCACUCAUGUGUUUCCAUCUUUGCGGCAUGUUGUAUUUCCUUUUACUUAAUCCUGCAGCUCUCUAAUUCAGUUGCUAUCAAGAAUUAUGCCAUUUUUCCCUCAUUCAUCUAAUAGCUAUUUCAGUGCAGACAUCAUGAACGUAGGUCCAGAAGAUCUUUGUGGUGUUUCAAUGACACAUCUUUGAGAAUGCUCAUUAUUUUCAUCUUCAUCUCUCCGUCUCUUCUAUCAGCAAAUGAGUCGUCUGUCCUAACCAUCUGGGUUUCUCUCCUCUAGUUCCUGAAUCCCACUGGAGAAGCCAUAGUUUUUCUUGAAGGUCAUGUUCUAUUAGUUUGUAGAGGUCAGAUGUUUGGUUCUGGGCAAGGAGAAAGUCCAAAAUGGUAGGGAAGUUUAUCUUCCUGUUACCAUCUGCUGAGGCACUGAAAGGACUGGCAGGACACCCAACCUACCAGAUGCAGAAGCUCAUCUGCUAGUUUCUGCCUCACUCCUCCAGGGCUACCAUGAUUAGCAGAAGUAGAGGGUCCUUCCAUGGACCACAUCCUGAUGAAGAUAUGUGAAGGGCUUCCUUCAGGAGGCACACAAUCUGCUCUCUUUGCCCAGACCUUGAAAAGAGGCUGGCUUUCUCUUUCUUUGCUCCUUCACCUCUAACUCAACCCUCAGAUGUCUCAGCAUCCCCAUUAGCGUCAGGUUCACUAUCCCACUGGUGGCCUUGGUACCUCAUGGCUUGAAGGGGCUGAAAAGGGAAAAAGUGUUAGGGGUAGACACUCAGGCACGAUCCCCAAAGAAUCCCCCUGACCAUGUUUUUCUUAGGUUCUUCUUCUGAUGUGAGCUGGUCUCAUUUUCCUUUUCAAAUGCUAAGUUUCUUGAUAGCAGGAUCACAUCCCCUCCGCCACUGCAUUUCUCUCUGCAGCUACCACAAGUGCCAGGCCAUUGUAGACACUCAAUAAACAGGGGCUGGCCUUGACAACAAAUCCUGUGAUCCUAUUUGGUGCAUUUCAUAACCUUUCUGGCUAAAAGGCACAGUCCAACUGGCUGGAAUACCAUCUGUGAAACAUGCCAGAGUAUCUAACUCAGGGAGGCCCAUGCAUGUCUACCCACUUAUCUUCCAAGAAUCAGGUGAUGCUGGAAAACUGAAUGCUUAGUGGAGUUGGCGCCAGUACCUUGGGGGAUAAGGAGAGGAAGUGUGGCAUUGGAUUUAGCAAGAGAUUGGAGCUCCAAUUCCAGUCUUUCCACUUACCAGUCAAAUGAUUUAUCUUCUUUGAACUUCAAUUUAUUCACAUAUAAAGUAGGUUAAGAAAAUAGUCACUUCUUCACAAGGCUGUUACAGGGAUUAAAGGAGAUCAUGAAUUAACAUGCCUGCUACACAACAAGAGCUCAGUCACUGUGAGCUUCCAGCAUUCUUGUUAUGACCAUUAUUGUUACAGUGGGGAGAGGGAGAUAGGCAGGUCAAUAGUUGAGGGGCAGAAACCAGGGAAGAGGAAGAGGAACGGAGAAAAGAAUGAGAAAGGGAGGACCUUAACUCUGAGUCUUCACCCAGAGAUCUUGAAAACAUUGGUUAUUUAAGGAGAUUUUAAUUCCUUUUCCAGUAAUAGUGACAUUUCUACAGACUGGGUCUGUAUUUUGUUUCCAUUUUCCUAAAUGAUGUCACAUCAAACCUCCUAAGAGAGUGCCUUUCCCACGCAGUCACCUCAAAUAAAGACAGAGGGAUGGAGUGGAUGGGAAGAGGUGAGAUGGGGCAGAAGUAAUGCAGCCCCCAGCUCGCCAGCAGGUGCCCAUUGUUGGAAUUCUUCGGCUGUAAUGGUCAUUCCCAUUUCUCCCAUGGAGAAAGACAGCACCUCCUUUGACAUUCUUUGUGGGUAAGGUGAAAUCAGGGCAGGAGGAGCCACAGCCCAUCACUUUCUGAGUUGACCAGAGAUCUCUCAGGGGCAGCCUGGGCUCCUGUACCAGAUGGCCCAGGUUCUAAUUCUACUUCUUCCAUUGAGUAGUUGCGUGACCUCAGGCAAGGUACUUAACCUCUGUGUGUCUCAGUAAAAGGGUGCUUUAUUAACAAACUUUUAUAUUGCACUAUUUAAAGGACUUUACAAAUACAAAUUCAUUUAGUCCUUAUAGCCAUAGAAGGUAGGUCAGGGCCAGGUGCUGUGGCUUGUAAUCCCAGCACUUUGGGAGGCCAAGGCGGGUGGAUCACUUGGGGUCAAGAGUUCAACACCAGCCUGGCCAACAUGGUUGAAACCCUGUCUCUACGAAAAAAAUACAAAAAUUAGCCAGGCAUGGUAGUGUGUAAUUACAUGGUAGCCUGUAAUUUCAGCUACUCGGGAGGCUGAGGCACAAGAAUCACUUGAACCCAGGAGGCGGAUGUUGCAGUGAGCCAAGAUCAUGCCACUGCACUCCCACCUGGGCAACAGAGUGAGGCCCUACCUCAAAAAAAAGAAGGUAGGCCAGACAAAAUGUGGUAAAGAUUAAAUGGUUCAUAUAUGCAACGUGCUUAGAGGCCCCUGUUUGGUACAUGGGAAAUGUAAGCGCGAUCCAGUGUUGUCAUCAUUAUUGUAAAUGCUAUCCAUUAGCUGCCAUCAUCUUCUUCUCCUUCAUCUUCCAGGGAUUCUGUUGCGGUAUAGCACUUGAGGGCAUUUUCUCCCUCCUCAUUCCACCACCAAACUCUCCUCAUUUUUUGGAGGGGGGCAUAUCUAAGUUUAUUUAUUUAUGCUAUUUUUUUUUUUAGCAAUUUCAACUUUUAGAUUUAGGGGCUACAUAUGCAGGUUAGUUAAAUGGGUAUACUGUGUGAUGCUGAUGUUUGGGGUAUAGAUGAUCCCAUCACCCAGGUAGUGAGCAUAGGAUUCAAUAGGUAGUUUUUUUUAGCCCAUGCUCCCUUUCCUCCCUCCUGCUCUAGCAGUCUACAGUGUUCAUUGUUUAUGUCCAUGCAUACUCAAUAUUUGGCUCCCACUUACAUGUGAGAAUGUGUGCCAUUUGGUUUUCUGUUUCUGUGUUAGUUUGUUUAGGAUAAUGGCCUCCAGCUGCAAACAGGUUGCUGCAAAGGACAUGAUUUUGUUCUUUUUAUGGCUGCAUAGUAUUCCAUGACGUAUAUGUACCACAUUAUCCAAUCCACAGUUGAUGGGCACCUAGGUUGAUUCCAUGUCUUUGCUAUUGUGAAUAGCUCUGCAAGGAACAUAGAAGUAUAUAUAUAUCUCUUGGAUAGAACAACUUAUUUUCCUUUGGGUAUAUGCCCAGUAAUGGGAUUGCUGAGUGGAAUGCUAGUUCCAUUUUUAAGUUCUCUGAGAAAUCUCCAAACUGCUUUCCACAGUGGCUGAAAUUGUACAUUCCCACCAGCAUUGCAGAAGCAUUCCCUCUUCUCCACAGCCUCACCAGCAUGUUAUUUUUUGACUUUUAAUAAUAGCCAUUCUGACCGGUGUGAGAUGGUAUCUCACUGUGGUUUUUAAUUUACAUUUUUCUGAUGCUUAGAGAUGUUGAGCAUUUUUUCAUGUUUUUUGGUUGCUUGUAUGUCCUCUUUUGAGAAGAGUCUGUUCCUGUCCUUUGUCCAUUUUUUAAUGGGUUGUUUGUUCUUUGCAUGUUGAAUUGUUUAUGUUCCUUAUAGAUUCUGGAUGUUAGACCUUUAUAGGAUGCAUAGUUUGUGAAUAUUUCCUCCCACUCUGCAGGCUGUCUGUUUACUCUGUUGAUGGAGUCUUUUGUUGUGCAGAAGCUCUUUAGUUUAGUUAGAUCCUGCUUAUUCAUUUUUGCUUUUGUUGCAAUUGCCUUUGUGGACUUAGCGAAGAAUACUUUACAAGGAUGAUGUCUAGUAAAUAUUUCCUAGGUUUUCUUCUAGAAUUUUUACAGUUUGAGGUCUUACAUUUAAAUCUUUAAUCCAUCUUAAGUUAAUUUUUGUAUGUGGUGAAAGACAGGGGUACAGUUUCAUUCUUCUGCAUAUGCCCAGCCAGCGAUCCCAGCACCAUUUAUUGAACACUCUCCCUGUUUUUGAGACACAGUCAUUUUAGUACUUCCAUCACAUUCUUGCCUCCCCUUGACACUGCUUACCUUUACCAUCUUUGUGUUCUGAAUCCCUGCUUCUUCCAGCUAAUUUAAAUGGGUUCCAACUCUCCCCAGGCCCACAGUGUGCCAAGCACAGUGCUAGAUAUUCUCACCUACACAUAUUCUAGGGCUUGGGGAAGCUGGGUGCAAACAUCCAUCCAUCUCCAAAACCCAGUCCCAUCCUAUUUUAUCAAAUUAUUUUAAAAUAUUCCACUCACCUUCCCAACUUUGUUAUUCAUCACUCUUAAACACUGAACUGAUUUGCUUACAAGGCAGAUCAUCUAAAUGUUUAAAAUAAAGAUUCAUGCUAACUUAAUGUAGCUAUGUAUGAUUCUCAGUUGUCUGUAUCUUUUAAUUUUUUAAAAAAGAUAGUAUGUGAGCUGCUAUGUAUCAUGUAAUGUGCCUUCUUGACCAGUGGUAGGUUCUUAUUCAAGCAAAUAACCUUAGAUAGGACUAGUGACAUGAAUGUAUUUGCUAUGUUAAGAGGAAAAGCUGGUUACAAAACAUAUGUAGAAUAGCAUGCUAUUUUAUACAUCUGCAAAGAUAUAUACCAAUGCCAUCACAUUGGCUAACUUGUAGAAAAGGAAAAAAUUAUUUUUCAGGGUAUUCUUCUUAGUUUUGCUUUUUGUAUAUUCUAAUUUUUCUUUGUUUUGAGUAUGUACUGCUUUUAUAAUGUCACAAAGAAGUACAAGAAACCAUAUUUUGAUGGGAAACAUGGUUGGAACUUAGCCAGCUGAAACCAUCCUCAAUAAAGCCCUUCGUUUUUUGUUUUGUUUUAUUUUAUUUUUUUAAGAUAAAGUCUCACUUUGUUGCCCAGGCUGGAGUGCAGUGGCAUGAUCACUGCAGCCUCGAACUCCUGGGCUCAAGCAAUCCUCUUGCUUCAGCCUCCCGAGUAGCUGGGACUACAGGUGUGUGCGACCAUGCCAGGCUAAUUUUUGUGGGGGCGAGUAGAGAUGGAGUCUUGCUAUGUUGUCCAGGUUGGUCUUGAACUCCACAAGCAAUCCUCCCAUCUUGGCCUCCCAAGGGGCUUGGAUUACAGGCAUGUGCCCCCACACCUGGCCCUAUUAAGCCUUUAAUCUGCUGUCUCAUCAGGCUGUGCACUUGUCUGAAAGAUGGCUCUGUUUAUUGUGUCCUACCAUGUUGUUAAUUACUUUGAACUCAAAACAUCUGGGUGGCAAUGUCUAUAGCUAUUUAAGAUUCUUGUUUUCAUGUUUUGAAUACACAGAAAGGUAUAUAAAACUUUUUCUGAUGAUAAUGAUGAAAUCAAGUCCUAUGUGUUGAAGGCAAAAUUGACUUCCCUAGCUUGGUGCAUGAAGAAAAACAAAGGUGGAGCUAAGUCCUCCCACUCUGCCCCACCAACAGCAUCUUAGGAUGCAGGGCACACUGAAGGCCCUUGGCCAUGUCACAAGCAAUCUCAGAUGGAGGGUACUUACUCUCUCAGCCCAUUUUCUUCCUUGUAUAACUGUGCAGUUUCUUAAACUACCCUUUGCCUAACUACAUAUUUUAAUCACAUUCAUUAAUUUUCAAAGUGCCUAUUUUUCUUAUCAUUCUAGAAGUACACUUCAUAUACUGAAAGCUAAUGAGCAUGUGUUCAGGAAAUAGUGAGGAGUUGAAUUUAGAUUUUUUAUUAAAUUUGUAUUUUUUUCUAUUUACAUUUUUCUGAUUAAAAAUGUGGCUUGUAUUUUGUUUACUUCUACAGGAAACAAAGAGGGUGGUUAUGUCUACUCAAAACCAAGCAUGUAUCUGAAAAAGUAGAAUUUCAAUUACAUAUCCAGAUAUUACAUCUUUUUGCUUUUUAUUUUGUUUUGUUUUUUGAGACAGAGUGUCACUCUGUCACCUAGGCUGGAGUGCAGUGGCACCAUCUUGGCUCACUGCAACCUUGGCCUACCGUGUUUAAGUGAUUCUCCUGCCUCAGCCUCUCAAGUAGCUGGGAUUACAGGCGCAGGCCACCAUACCCGGCUAAUUUUUGUAUUUUUAGUAGAGACAACAUUUCACCAUGUUGGCCAGGUUGGUCUCGAACUUGUGGCCUCAAGUGAUCCACCUGCAUCGGCCUCCCAAAGUGUUGGGAUUAUGGGUCUGAGCUACCACGUCCAGCCCCGCUAUUAUAUCUAUUUAAUACCAAUACAUGAAGAGCUGGGUUGGUGUUUGUUUGCUUUGCUUUUUGUUUGGUUGAUUGACAUUAUAUAGAAUGCCACAGUGGAACCGAAAACCUCCUCUCUACUUCAAAAAUUAGAAUAAAAUGAAUUUAAAUUUUUUCUUAUACUUUUCUCAGGUGCCUUUGAAAAAUAUUAAGGGCACUAGGUUAAAGCUAUUAAAAGGCAUAUGUUUGUAAGUAAGAAUUGUAAGAACUGACAGAACCGAAUAUUAAGAAUUACUUUAAAAGCUAAAAACUUUAAAGAAAUAUUAGCCUGGAAAAGUGGAGAAUAAGGGUGAUUUAACAAUUAGUUCCAAAUAAAUAACAGAUUGGUAGAGGGUAGACAUCUUGUUGCCAUCCCACUUAAAGACAAGGACUCUUGAGAAUUGCCUUUAGAUUCUAUCAUGCCUUUGAUCACACAUAACACAGUGCUGGACACGUAGUGAAUGUCCUUCAACACCUCCUAUUCAGCAUACUUCCCAUAUGUAUGCAGGCACUGUGUGACUGACCACCUGGGGCAGGUAAACAGAGCUGCACCAUGCUGCCACAGAGCUGGACCCAAAGUGUUCUGAGAAGUGUCCACAUAACCCAGGCAAGCAUCAAGGAAGAGAAGCUGUGCAGAAAGAGCAACAUCUCUAGGAGUAGCUUUUACAAGUGAAGAGAGAUUGUGCAAGUGAAUAAAAGAAAGUCAGCGAUUCCAGGCAAGGGGAAUUGCAUGGUCAAAGGCACUAAGGUAUAAUGUGCCUGGCAAAUAGACUUCUGCAGGACUAGAGAGCUGGAUUUGUGGAGAGAUGGCAUAGUAGAAGCAGGCCCAGGCCACAUUAGCAAAAGUUUUUCUUGUACACCAUGUUAAAAGUCUGGGUUUUGUCUCCAAGACAAUUGUAGAACUCUUACAGUAAGGACUCUCUACAGAGAAAUGACAUAAUCUUAUUAACAUAAUAAUGUUUAAAAUAUCACUAUAGCAGCAGUAUGGAGAAUAGAAUGGUAAGGAAUUAAUACUGGACGCUGUUGCAAGAUUCUAGGCAAAAAAAUUUUUAGGAACUGAAUUAAGACUGUGGCUGUACAGGUAGGGAUAAAGAGAAGGAAGCAGAGUCAGGCGAUGAUAAACAGCGCUGGCAGAACUUGUGAAUCGCCUUGAUGGAGAGGAAAGAGGAAGAGAAUCGUCCAAGAUGACCCUAGGGUCUUGCAUUGAGUGACUGGGUAGAUGGUGGCUUAUUUUCCCCAAACAGGCAAUACAGGAGGAGAUACAGAUCUGGGGGGGUCUACCAAGGGAGAUAAUCCAUUUACUUUCCUAGUUGUAGAACUUAAGAGUACCUCUAAGGAGGAAGUCACAUUUACUAGCAUAUAAGAACCAUGAGAAUGGGGACCUUGUUGGUUUCAUUCACUAUGUCCUCAGUGCCUAGCACAGCACACAGCAGAUGAUAAAUCCUGGUAAAUUCUAGUCGAAUGUGUGUUCCUCGACACAGUUUUGGGUCCAGGUCUCAGCUAUUAUUCAAUGCUCUUUGGUUUUCUUCCAUAGAAAAUCCUAGAACCUCCUUUGAUGUUGACCGAGGUUGUCUUGCCUCCAGAAAUAAGAGAUUCUGCUCCAUGCUGGCGGGGAUUCUAGGUUUUGGAAGAGAGGAUGCAAUUAUGAGCAACGGGGAACUGUUAGUGAAAAAUUCACCAAGAAGUCAGAGAGUGCCUUUAAACUUCUUUCUACCCAGUGUUGUCCUAUUAAGAAAAUAAUGUCAGUUUCAGAGAGUGAUGUUUUAAAUAAAUAAGGCUAGCGUU
Long non-coding RNA from Homo sapiens (human), 9022 nucleotides. RefSeq lists it as uncharacterized. The transcript is spliced from 2 exons. Lineage: Eukaryota; Metazoa; Chordata; Mammalia; Primates; Hominidae. The record is from RefSeq and is a predicted model, not a curated record.